Long non-coding RNA from Juglans microcarpa x Juglans regia, 532 nucleotides. RefSeq lists it as uncharacterized. NCBI's taxonomy places the organism in Eukaryota, Viridiplantae, Streptophyta, Magnoliopsida, Fagales, Juglandaceae. The record is from RefSeq and is a predicted model, not a curated record. The transcript is spliced from 3 exons.
ACUUCCUCAUUGUUUCGGUUUCUCUCUUGCGCUGCAUCUUAUUCCAGUGAGUUGCAGUCUGCUGCAUCUCUGUUUCUCUCCAUUUUUACAUUUCUGUUCUUCCUCUGCAAGUCAGCGAGCAGUACCUCUCAUUCCUCCAUUUUUCGACUGUUUCUGUUUUGGCCGUGAGGUUUGGGUUGCGUUUGUGUGUCUGGGUGUUGCGCGUGGUGAGUCUUCGGGUAAAUCUCUCUCUUUGCUCUCAGGUCGAUGCCUUCCCCAUACUUUAUUUCUCUGGUUUUAAGCAAUUCCGACUUUGAAUUGUUCUAGGUGGUGCCGUUGUUUUCUUCCCCACUCCAAAACCCCACUUUGACGCUCAUUUCUCUUACAGUCCACUUUGUUUCACUUCUGUCCGCAUUGUGUUUAAUCUCCUUGCUGUGGCUUGGCAUUGAACUCUGUUGAGCGGGUAAGGAGGCCGUGAACCAUACUUUUCAUGGUGACGAGACUAAUAGAGGUCAUUUUCAAGGCUUAGAUAAUACGCUACAAGAGUCAGGUA